AACGCACCUUGCGCUCCUUGGUAUUCCGAGGAGCAUGCCUGUUUGAGUGUCAUUGAAUUCUCAACUAUGACUUGAUUUAUUUCUAGUCGUAGCUUGGAUUUGGGAGCUGCCGGUGUUGAACCCCUCUCGGAGGGGGGAGGACGUCGGCUCUCCUCAAAAGCAUUAGCAAAGGCAAAAGCUCUGCAUGAACGGCCUUCGACGUGAUAAUGAUCGUCGCGGCUGGAGUGUUGGCGCAUGAAUGGUCUGUGCUUCUAAUCUCGCGUGCAUGGCCGCUUCGGUGGCAAUGCCCGACUUCCUUGAACUUGACCUCAAAUCAGGUAGGACUACCCGCUGAACUUAA
RNAcentral lists this unclassified non-coding RNA (340 nucleotides) under uncultured fungus. RNAcentral's name for it is "partial contains 5.8S ribosomal RNA, internal transcribed spacer 2, and large subunit ribosomal RNA". The stretch from base 1 to 52 matches the Rfam family "5.8S ribosomal RNA", at positions 103 to 154 of the family's 154-position model. The record is from RNAcentral. Lineage: Eukaryota; Fungi.